GCACGGGGGGAGGAAAGUAGGGGAUCGCAAGGCCUUGCGCUCAUGGAGCGGCCGAUAUCGGAUUAGCUUGUUGGUGGGGUAAAAGCCCACCAAGGCGACGAUCCGUAGCUGGUCUGAGAGGACGACCAGCCACACUGGGACUGAGACACGGCCCAGACUCUACGGGAGGCAGCAGUGGGGAAUUUUGGACAAUGGGGGCAACCCUGAUCCAGCCAUGCCGCGUGUGUGAAGAAGGNNNNCGGGUUGUAAAGCACUUUUGUCCGGAACGAAACGGCGGAUGCGAAUAACAUCCGUUAAUGACGGUACCGGAAGAAUAAGCACCGGCUAACUACGUGCCAGCAGCCGCGGUAAUACGUAGGGUGCAAGCGUUAAUCGGAAUUACUGGGCGUAAACNNUGCGCA
RNAcentral lists this ribosomal RNA (401 nucleotides) under uncultured Nitrosospira sp. Its description in RNAcentral is "bacterial SSU rRNA". It matches the Rfam family "Bacterial small subunit ribosomal RNA", at positions 190 to 573 of the family's 1533-position model. Lineage: Bacteria; Pseudomonadati; Pseudomonadota; Betaproteobacteria; Nitrosomonadales; Nitrosomonadaceae. The record is from RNAcentral.